CCGGACUUUGGAGGGGUUCGGCCGUAGCAGGUGGUCGACAAGGACAGACCUUUGGGGUCGGAAAUUCUCCAGGUCGGACGUUUCGAGGUCGGACGUUCUGAGGUCGGACGUUCAGAGGUCGGACGCCGACCUCAGUCGUCCAAGCUCGGUGGCUAUGCGGCCUUUUGGAGGUGGGGUUACUAUAUUGCUGGGGGAAAACUGUAUUCCCCCAACA
Molecule: long non-coding RNA, 214 nt
Filed under: Phoenix dactylifera (date palm)
Lineage: Eukaryota; Viridiplantae; Streptophyta; Magnoliopsida; Arecales; Arecaceae
Description: long non-coding RNA (PDAC_LNC017618)
Source: RNAcentral